RNAcentral lists this ribosomal RNA (429 nucleotides) under Actinomycetes bacterium. Its description in RNAcentral is "Actinobacteria bacterium partial 16S ribosomal RNA". It matches the Rfam family "Bacterial small subunit ribosomal RNA", at positions 355 to 776 of the family's 1533-position model. Lineage: Bacteria; Bacillati; Actinomycetota; Actinomycetes. The record is from RNAcentral.
UAGGGAAUCUUCCGCAAUGGGCGAAAGCCUGACGGAGCAACGCCGCGUGAGUGAUGAAGGUCUUCGGAUCGUAAAACUCUGUUAUUAGGGAAGAACAAAUGUGUAAGUAACUAUGCACGUCUUGACGGUACCUAACCAGAAAGCCACGGCUAACUACGUGCCAGCAGCCGCGGUAAUACGUAGGUGGCAAGCGUUAUCCGGAAUUAUUGGGCGUAAAGCGCGCGUAGGCGGUUUUUUAAGUCUGAUGUGAAAGCCCACGGCUCAACCGUGGAGGGUCAUUGGAAACUGGAAAACUUGAGUGCAGAAGAGGAAAGUGGAAUUCCAUGUGUAGCGGUGAAAUGCGCAGAGAUAUGGAGGAACACCAGUGGCGAAGGCGACUUUCUGGUCUGUAACUGACGCUGAUGUGCGAAAGCGUGGGGAUCAAACAGG